This 253-nucleotide ribosomal RNA is filed under the name uncultured bacterium. RNAcentral describes it as "partial 16S ribosomal RNA". It matches the Rfam family "Bacterial small subunit ribosomal RNA", at positions 524 to 776 of the family's 1533-position model. The record is from RNAcentral.
UACGUAGGUGGCAAGCGUUGUUCGGAAUUACUGGGCGUAAAGCGCGCGUAGGCGGCUCUUCAAGUCAGGCGUGAAAGCCCCGGGCUUAACUCGGGUACUGCGCUUGAUACUGUCGAGCUAGAGUGUGGAAGGGGCGAUUGGAAUUCCGUGUGUAGCGGUGAAAUGCGUAGAUAUACGGAGGAACACCAGAGGCGAAGGCGGAUCGCUGGGCCAACACUGACGCUGAUGUGCGAAAGCUAGGGGAGCAAACGGG